This 477-nucleotide ribosomal RNA is filed under the name uncultured bacterium. RNAcentral describes it as "SSU rRNA". It matches the Rfam family "Bacterial small subunit ribosomal RNA", at positions 26 to 518 of the family's 1533-position model. The record is from RNAcentral.
AGGAUAAACGCUGGCGGCGUGCCUAACACAUGCAAGUCGAACGCGCUUUCGGGCUUCGGUGCGAGAGCGAGUGGCAGACGGGUGAGUAACACAUGGGUACCUGCCUUUCAGUGAGGGAUACCGGCGAGAAAUCGCCGACAAUACCGCAUAGGCUUCUCGGUCGCAAGAGCGGGAAGCAAAGUGGCGCAAGUCACGCUGGAAGAUGGGCCUGUGGCCGAUUAGCUAGUUGGGGGGGUAAUGGCCUCCCAAGGCGACGAUCGGUAGCUGGUCUGAGAGGACGAUCAGCCACACUGGGAUUGAGAACGGCCCAGACUCCUACGGGGGGCAGCAGUGAGGAAUUUUCCGCAAUGGACGAAAGUCUGACGGAGCAACGCCGCGUGCAGGAGGAAGGUUUUCGGAUCGUAAACUGCUUUUCUCGGGGACGAGCAAGGACGGUACCCGAGGAAGAAGCCCGGCUAACUACGUGCCAGCAGCCGC